Molecule: long non-coding RNA, 861 nt
Organism: Spinacia oleracea (spinach)
Lineage: Eukaryota; Viridiplantae; Streptophyta; Magnoliopsida; Caryophyllales; Amaranthaceae
Exons: 4
Source: RefSeq, a predicted model, not a curated record
AGCCCCUUAUUCUCUCUCCUCCAUUUUCGCUCUCCUUCGUGAUUCUCUCUCCUCACCGCUACUGUUUCCUAGCUGCAACCAUCGCGCCGCCACCAUCUCCACGCUGCCAUCAUCCACGCAUCGUCUUCUCUUCUUCAAUUUGGAGGAAUUGAAGAAAUUGUGAAAAGUUUCUCGCAAAAUCCAAAGCUCCGCCACCACUCCACCACCACUCCGCCGACCGCCACCACUCCAACUCCACUCCGCUGACCGCCACCACUUCGCCGACUACUACCACUCCGUCGACCGCCACCAUAUCUUCGCCCUCUCUUCUGUGAGGGGUUUAGUAAUGGAGCUUCAAAAUCAGAGGAAGUGUUGGCUAUGCUUUACACCAUGGCUAUUAUGAGAGCUUGCAUAUUGAAAGUCCUCCUCAACGUCACCACAAAGCCGCCUUCUAAGUCUCAAAGUCGGGCUUCCUUUACAAGCGCUACUAAAACAAAAUAAUCUACUGAGUACAUUUUUCAUGGGGGAUUCAAUUGCUGUCACGGCGACGACGACGAUUCUGAUGAAGCAUUAGUUAAAUUCUCAGCCAUUAAAUUCUGACUCUCUUGCACACUCAAACUUAAGUGAGAAGGUGUAGAGUUGGAGUUGGCCAAAACAAUUGGGUUCUUCACUUCUUCUUUCUUAUCCUUUUUGAAUUGGUUUGAAGCUGACAUCUGUUGCUGCUUCUGAAUUGGAGAGAGUGGUAUGGUGACUGUCUUACUCACUCACAAAGUCACAAUCUGAAUCUGCAAAUCAAGAAUUACUUAUAAUAAUAAAUGACCAUUCCACCAUACUGUGCUAAAUUGCUAUAAAACAUCAGAGCUCCUAACAUUAUUGUGUCGA